RNAcentral lists this ribosomal RNA (449 nucleotides) under uncultured bacterium. RNAcentral describes it as "partial 16S ribosomal RNA". It matches the Rfam family "Bacterial small subunit ribosomal RNA", at positions 29 to 523 of the family's 1533-position model. The record is from RNAcentral.
AACGAACGCUGGCGGCAUGCCUAACACAUGCAAGUCGAACGAGACCUUCGGGUCUAGUGGCGCACGGGUGCGUAACGCGUGGGAAUCUGCCCUAGGGUGCGGAAUAACUCGGAGAAAUCCGUGCUAAUACCGCAUAAUGUCUUCGGACCAAAGAUUUAUCGCCCUGGGAUGAGCCCGCGUAGGAUUAGCUAGUUGGUGGGGUAAAGGCCUACCAAGGCGACGAUCCUUAGCUGGUCUGAGAGGAUGAUCAGCCACACUGGGACUGAGACACGGCCCAGACUCCUACGGGAGGCAGCAGUGGGGAAUAUUGGACAAUGGGCGAAAGCCUGAUCCAGCAAUGCCGCGUGAGUGAUGAAGGCCUUAGGGUUGUAAAGCUCUUUUACCAGGGAUGAUAAUGACAGUACCUGGAGAAUAAGCUCCGGCUAACUCCGUGCCAGCAGCCGCCGUAA